Molecule: small nuclear RNA, 191 nt
Organism: Artibeus jamaicensis (Jamaican fruit-eating bat)
Lineage: Eukaryota; Metazoa; Chordata; Mammalia; Chiroptera; Phyllostomidae
Product: U2 spliceosomal RNA
Exons: 1
Source: RefSeq, a predicted model, not a curated record
AUUGCAUCUCAGACUUUUGGAUAAGACCAAGUGUAGUAUCUGUUCUUUUCAGUUUAAUAUCUGAUAUGUCCUCUAUCCAAGGACAUUACAUAAAGUGGAUUUUUGGAGCUUGGAGAUGGAAUAGGAGUUUGCUCUAUCCACUGCACACAUCGACCUGGUAUUGCAAUAUCCCCCAAAAUGGUGCACCAGAA